AGAACAGGUCAAAUCGCUUCUACUCAAUUCUGUUUUUUUGUGAUUGUGUUAGUUUUUCUGUAAAAUUUCAAAUGUCAAAUAUAAAUUAAUUUUUUUUUCUUUCAAACGAAAUAUUAUAAAAUAAUUUUCAAAUAUGGUAAUAUUCAACAAAUUAAUGGGAUAGUUGGUCUGCAAAAUAUUUUAAAUAAGUAUAUAAUGCGUUUAUUUGUUUGAAAAUAAAUUAAAUUGAAUUUCAGAAAACAAUUUCUAAAAUUUUGAAUGAAAAACAAAAAAAAACUGAUUGAGUGAUUGUUUUGACUUUUGAAUAUCCAUGUAUUAGUGCUUCUUGAGUGGAUUCUGAAUUUAAAUCGAGAAGAGAAUUUCUCUCCUGAGAAGCGUUCUAGCUGUCAUUUUCGUGCGAAUAAAACACUUUCAGAAGACUUCUGAACGCUUCCGGACGAUUCCGGACGGCCAAUCGAAAACGCCAUUAGUGGUGUAAAAAAAAUAAUAUGUCAGAGAAAAUUAAAUUUAAAAAUUUUAAUAUUCAGGAUUUUAAAAAUUUGACAUUUUAGUUGGGUCAACUGAGGUGAAUUUAGAAAAAAACUCAAAAAGCAAUUUCCGUAAUAAAAAGUGAUAGAAAAAAGGAUUGAUAUUGGAAUCGAUAGAUAUUGUUAAUAAAUACAAGUCAGAAGUCACACAUGAAAGCAAAAAAAUUAAUAAAUCUGCAACUCGAGUCAAAAUCUUGAAAUUCAGUGUUUGAGAAAUAAUUCACCAGAAAUCAGCACGAAAGGUGUUUGAAAUAAUAUUUAUGUUAUUAGAGAGCAAACAAAAAAUUACUUGACAUGUAUCUACCAAAUUUUGUAUUUAACUUAGUUUUUGGCUCCUUUUUAUAUUAUAAGAAUUACAGAUUUUUACAUUUCAAUACACUCUGUACACUGUUUAACGAAAAAAACGAAAUUUGAAUAUAUUUUUCUGGUGGCCUAAUACGUUUUGUAGGGCAUAAUGAAUAUAUUGCUUUUUAUUUUAUUUUUCAAAAUAUGUACCUCCAAAAUCUGGAUUUAGGAACAAAAAACGCUUUGUGGGGAAAAACCCAAGAAUAAUAAAUUGGUCGAUCUUCGGCGUUUCCAGCAUCCAGCUAGGUACACGUUAUUAGGAGUGUUUUUGGCACAGCUAUCCGUAUCGGCAGUGGGAGCUUCCAUGUAUUAUAAAUGCAACACCAAGCUGCGGAUAAAACUUAAAUCUGGCUGCGGAUAAGAAAUUGACAUUUGUUCGAGUAUCGAUACUCGAACGAAGAAAAUUUAUAUGGGCGACUGACCAAAUCUACGAACCAUAAACAAAAAAUACCAAGACUGGAGACUCGGCGGUCAACUGACGUUUGCCUACAAGCUGCGAGGUGUGGUGAAUGUCGUGAACCUAUCGUUGUGUUCGUGUCCGAUGUGUGGUAAAUGUCGUGAAUCUAUAAAUGUGUGCGUGUUAACGUCACUUACCAACGUGGUGGCUUUCACAUAUAUUCACAGACAACACUGUACUCAAAAGGGUUUUGAGGGGAAAGACGUACGAGAGUUUCCAGCAUAAACAAAAAAUACCAAGACUGGAAACUCGGCGGUCAACUGACGUUUGCCUAUAAGCUGCGAUUUGUGGUGAAUGUCGUGAACCUUUCGUUGUGUUCGUGUCCGAUGUGUGGUGAAUGUCGUGAAUCUAUAAAUGUGUGCGUGUUAACGUCAUUUACCAACGUGGUGGCUUUCACUUAUAUUCACAGACAGCACUGUACACAAAAGGGUUUUGGGGGGAAAGACGUACGAAAGUUUCCAGUCUUGGUAUUUUUUGUUUAUGCUACGAACAUACCCCAAUAUGUCAAAAACUUAUCCGAAAGCAAAAGUAAAUACAAAUCAAACUUUGAUUUGAACAAAUGCAAAUGGAUAUGCAAAUGGAGAAUCACGAAAAAAGCAUCAAGAAAAAAACCUGGGCAAAGGAGGAGACUGGUGGCAAGCCGAUUAUUACCAACACAAAUACAAUAAAUAUUGGUGCUAGAAAUGUUGCAGAAGCUAACUCUCAAUUUUCACAACAUUAAUGCAGUCAAGAAAAAGAAACAGAACCAGUCGAAACAAUUGUUGAAAUUUGAACACCAUCAUUAUCUUCAAACGUCAUACGCAUACCGUCGGCUGAAAGUCCUACUAGUCCAAUUCCCACAACAUCGUCUUCAACAUCAUCUUCAAACAUCAUCCCAACAACAGAAAGUCCAACUACUCCCAUUUCCACAACAUCUGGUGCAUCAAAACAAAAAAGGAGUGGUAUUGUGGUAUUAAGAGAAAAAUGACCAAAGGGAUGUACUUCGCCGAGAAAAAUGAAAGGAGCAAGGAGGAUAUCGAGAAGAAACACGACAAGUGGAAGGAAUUUAUGAAUCUGCAAAGAAAAAAGCAAGAAAGUCGAACUGAAAAAUUGAAUUUUCUUAAAGAAUAUAUAAAUUCAAAAAAGCAAUAAGUGAACAACAAAUUAUUUGGAAAACACCAUAGGAUAGAGACAAGUUUUACAAAAGAACAAAACGUCAAAAUUAAUGAAUCAAUAAAAAAAAAGAUGUAAGAAAUUUGUAUAUAAAAAAUUUAAA
This is a long non-coding RNA of Episyrphus balteatus (marmalade hoverfly), 2584 nucleotides long. RefSeq lists it as uncharacterized. The record is from RefSeq and is a predicted model, not a curated record. The transcript has 3 exons. NCBI's taxonomy places the organism in Eukaryota, Metazoa, Arthropoda, Insecta, Diptera, Syrphidae.